Molecule: non-coding RNA, 1637 nt
Organism: Manis javanica (Malayan pangolin)
Lineage: Eukaryota; Metazoa; Chordata; Mammalia; Pholidota; Manidae
Source: RefSeq, a predicted model, not a curated record
AGACAGACGCAGGAGCCAGAGACAGAGGGACGGAGACCAAGGCUCAGAGAAGUAGUUCAGGAAGAGUGAGAAGAGGGGAACCAGAGAUUUAAAAGGAGAAGGAGAAAGAAGAGGAGCCGAGCAUUCCCAGAGAACGACAGACGGACUCAAGGAAGUGGAGGUCAGAGCCCUCUUCCCAAGCUGGCAGAAGCCUCCCGCUCUCUUUGAAUUGGGCCAAAGGGGUCCAGCCGAUCAGGUCUCUAGGGAAGAGGUGUCCCUGCGCUGCUGGAGAACUUCCCCAAGCGCUCAGCUGGGAAGCACCUGCCCUUCAACCAGAGGAUUUACUCCAAACUUCAAGUCCAGCUCCUUAGAAAGUAGAAGACGGUCUUUUCCUCAGAUGAGAAAACCAAGGCACUGAAAGAUGGAACAGAACAGAUACUGGACCCAAAUGCUGCUUUUCUGACUCCACUCAUUACAAACUGCUUUCUCAGCACCAAACUUGGAAGAUAUGGUCCUUGCCUUAUGGGAGUAUCUUGCACACAUCUAGCUCUAGCUCAGCACAGUUCUGACUGUUUCCGCCUGGUCUGUAUCUGUUCCCCAUCAGAGGCCCAGCCCUUCAGCAGCCAAGAUAAAAGAGAUGGAUGGAGGUGAGUUUGGGGGACACCCCUCCCUGCAAGCCCAGAGCUAGAGCCCUAGUUCUGACAGGGGCUCCCUGAGGAGGGUUGGGUGGGAGGGUGAAGAAUUCCAAGCUCUCUGGAAGCCCUGUCCCCACCCAUCCCCACUCUGCCUUAGCCCUUCCUCUCUUCCUAAGGUCUAGUUCCUAAGGCCUCCUCCAGGCAGGCGCCAAGACAGCAAUCAUCCCUUCCUCCAAAAACGCACUUCAGCAGGAAGCCCUGUCUAGGCACCCUGUCCCCACCUCCCUGUGGCUCACCUGCCCAUAAAUAGUAAUAGUAAAAUUGACCAUUUGGUGAAUACCUAUUAUGUUCCAAACACAUUACUUAUAAGCUCUCCAAUCUCAUCACAGCCCCUGCAGAGUAAGUUUUAUCACUAUUUUGCAGAGGAAAACACAAAAGAAGGAAAGCUAAAAAUAUUGCUCUAGGUAUGCACUUAAAAAGCAGUAGAACUGACAUUCAAACCUGUAGGCAAAACCUUAUGCCACCUCACCACCCUAUCCUUAAGCCCUGGUUCUGCUCCCAAAGACCUAUCAUUGCCCUUCAGAGACUGCUGCCCCCCAGAACCUCACUACUCCCAGAAUUUAAGCCUUUCUGACUCCAGUUCACACAGUGGGGGAGGGGCAAGGGAGCUGGAAAGCCAGAAUUAGAACCUGAGUCCCUGAAAGGGCCAGCUGAGUCCAGGAGACCUGGGGGGCCCUCUCCAGCCCUGCUCCAGUGAUCAGUGUUGGGAGGAGGGGGCUGGGGAAGACAAGGAGUAAUUGUCCCUAGGGUUCUCAGCUCUCAUCCUGGAAGACCCCAUCACUUCUCAUAGAAAUUCUGUCUUUUCUCCAAGGGGACUCCAGGACCCAUUUCAGUACUAAGUCCAUCUGCCUUCCAAGGCUGCCACCAAGGGGACAGGGUGAGACUUGAUUGUGGGUUGACAUGUGUCACCCAAACUGACUUUCAUAACUUCAACCUGUUCAGAGAGACUUCAGUAGCCCACAU